GAUGAACGCUGGCGGCGUGCCUAAUACAUGCAAGUCGAGCGAACAGACGAGGAGCUUGCUCCUCUGACGUUAGCGGCGGACGGGUGAGUAACACGUGGGUAACCUACCUAUAAGACUGGGAUAACUUCGGGAAACCGGAGCUAAUACCGGAUAAUAUAUUGAACCGCAUGGUUCAAUAUUGAAAGACGGUUUUGCUUUCACAUAUAGAUGGAUCCGCUCCUCAUUAGCUAGUUGGUAAGGUAACGGCUUACCAAGGCAACGAUCCGUAGCCGACGUGAGAGGGUGAUCGGCCACACUGGACCUGGGACACGGUCCAGCCUCCUACGGGAGGCAGCAGUAGGGAAUCUUCCGCAAUGGGCGAAAGCCUGCCGGAGCAACGCCGCGUGAGUGAUGAAGGUCUUCGGAUCGUAAACCUCUGUUAUUAGGGAAGAACAAAUGUGUAAGUAAAUAUGCACGUCUUGACGGUACCUAAUCAGAAAGCCACGGCUAACUACGUG
Molecule: ribosomal RNA, 497 nt
Filed under: uncultured bacterium
Lineage: Bacteria
Description: partial 16S ribosomal RNA
Rfam family: Bacterial small subunit ribosomal RNA
Source: RNAcentral